Molecule: long non-coding RNA, 1002 nt
Organism: Carcharodon carcharias (great white shark)
Lineage: Eukaryota; Metazoa; Chordata; Chondrichthyes; Lamniformes; Lamnidae
Exons: 4
Source: RefSeq, a predicted model, not a curated record
CCAUGCAGCUGAGUUUUUAGAAAUCAUCAACUUUACACAGGGAGGAAAACAAUGGAAGACAUUUACAACCCAAAUGUGCAUUUGCAUACCAUUUAGAACUUGCAUUACAAGCAAAGGGCCAGCAUAAUGUCAUUUUAUCAGUUUGGACAUCAACCCAGGAUUUCUGCCAACCCAGGAUUUCUGCAGAACAAUCUCUGGUUUCUCAUUUCGGAAAGCGUUACCUUGCUCUAAGAAAGCCAGGAGAUAUGAAGAUGUAUGAUCUACCAUGCAAUGCUCUGAAGCAUGCUACGAUGAUGAGGGUGACAUACAAUUUGGAGCAUUCUUGGAGGAAGCACAGUCACAUCCUCUUACGGCACCAAGCACCAGUGCAGACACUGGCACCUUGGCAGGGAUUAGCGCUUCAGAGCAAAGGCAUUCACAAUCUGCUGAGGACACUUCACAGUCGCAUGUGCAGCUGCCAGACAGCGUGGUGGAGCAGGAUGUGGGUAGUCGGUGGAGUAUCUGAGAUGAUCCCGAGACCAAUUCCAAAUCGGAUGAUGAGCCUCUGGAGUUGUCUGUAAGGCGACAGACGCUGAAGAUCCAGCACAAGAUAUACACAAGAAAAGGGAUUAUAAAGCCAGCUGCAAACUUGAUCCAUGUGUGCUACUCCUGGUGUUCUGGUUCUGGUGUGCUAGUGUGUGCUGUGAAGGUCACAGCAGAAGAACAGCAACUAGGCAUUGCUGCAGCUUGCAAGUAAAAAGUCUCUCUCUGUUGCUGCAGGCAAGUCACAAGUCAGCAAAGCCACAGUCAAAAAGGAAACAGGCCAACAACUUUGCUAAUCUGCAGAACCAAGUGUCUCCAAACCAACUGCUCAAUUGCCAAAGUCAGCUCUACCGCAAUUACCCAACUUCACAGCCACAACAUUUCACCAUCUACUCCUCAAGGACAAGCCAAAGACUGAUUCACAUAUUUUUGAAGAACUUUUAUUUUUGGACUCAACUUCUCUUUUCUAAUCUGUGUGCA